RNAcentral lists this ribosomal RNA (525 nucleotides) under uncultured bacterium. RNAcentral describes it as "bacterial SSU rRNA". It matches the Rfam family "Bacterial small subunit ribosomal RNA", at positions 45 to 579 of the family's 1533-position model. The record is from RNAcentral.
UGCCUCAGACAUGCAAGUCGAACGAUUAAAGCUCUCUUCGGAGAGUGUAUAAACGUGGCGUACGGGUGAGUAACACGUAAGUAAUCUACCUUUGAGUGGGGAAUAACUUAAGGAAACUUAAGCUAAUACCGCAUAACGCAGCGGCUCGUAAUCGAGACAGUUGUUAAAGAAUUUAUUCGCUUAAAGAGGAGCUUGCGGCAGAUUAGCUAGUUGGUAAGGUAACGGCUUACCAAGGGCAACGAUCUGUAGCCGACCUGAGAGGGUGGUCGGUCACACUGACACUGAAUAACGGGUCAGACUCCUACGGGAGGCAGCAGUCGGGAAUUUUGUGCAAUGGGCGAAAGCCUGACACAGCAACGCCGCGUGAAGGAUGAAGUCCCUCGGGAUGUAAACUUCGUAAGCAUAGGAAGAAUAAAUGACGGUACUAUGCGUAAGCUCCGGCUAACUACGUGCCAGGCAGCCGCGGUAUACGUAGCGGAGCAAGCGUUGUUCGGAUUUACUGGGCGUAAAGGGUGCGUAUGCGGC